GACGAACGCUGGCGGCGUGCUUAACACAUGCUAGUCGAACGGAAAGGCCCUGCUUUUGUGGGGUGCUCGCGUGGCGAACGGGUGAGUAACACGUGAGUAACCUGCCCUUGACUUUGGGAUAACUUCAGGAAACUGGGGCUAAUACCGGAUAGGAGCUCCUGCUGCAUGGUGGGGGUUGGAAAGUUUCGGCGGUUGGGGAUGGACUCGCGGCUUAUCAGCUUGUUGGUGGGGUAGUGGCUUACCAAGGCUUUGACGGGUAGCCGGCCUGAGAGGGUGACCGGCCACAUUGGGACUGAGAUACGGCCCAGACUCCUACGGGAGGCAGCAGUGGGGAAUAUUGCACAAUGGGCGGAAGCCUGAUGCAGCAACGCCGCGUGCGGGAUGACGGCCUUCGGGUUGUAAACCGCUUUCGCCUGUGACGAAGCGUGAGUGACGGUAAUGGGUAAAGAAGCACCGGCUAACUACGUGCCAGCAGCCGCGGUGAUACGUAGGGUGCGAGCGUUGUCCGGAUUUAUUGGGCGUAAAGGGCUCGUAGGUGGUUGAUCGCGUCGGAAGUGUAAUCUUGGGGCUUAACCCUGAGCGUGCUUUCGAUACGGGUUGACUUGAGGAAGGUAGGGGAGAAUGGAAUUCCUGGUGGAGCGGUGGAAUGCGCAGAUAUCAGGAGGAACACCAGUGGCGAAGGCGGUUCUCUGGGCCUUUCCUGACGCUGAGGAGCGAAAGCGUGGGGAGCGAACAGGCUUAGAUACCCUGGUAGUCCACGCUGUAAACGGUGGGUACUAGGUGUGGGGUCCAUUCCACGGGUUCCGUGCCGUAGCUAACGCUUUAAGUACCCCGCCUGGGGAGUACGGCCGCAAGGCUAAAACUCAAAGGAAUUGGCGGGGCCCCGCACAAGCGGCGGAGCAUGCGGAUUAAUUCGAUGCAACGCGUAGAACCUUACCUGGGUUUGACAUGGAUCGGGAGUGCUCAGAGAUGGGUGUGCCUCUUUUGGGGUCGGUUCACAGGUGGUGCAUGCCUGUCGUCAGCUCGUGUCGUGAGAUGUUGGGUUAAGUCCCGCAACGAGCGCAACCCUUGUUCACUGUUGCCAGCACGUUAUGGUGGGGACUCAGUGGAGACCGCCGGGGUCAACUCGGAGGAAGGUGGGGAUGACGUCAAGUCCUCAUGCCCCUUAUGUCCAGGGCUUCACGCAUGCUACAAUGGCUGGUACAGAGAGUGGCGAGCCUGUGAGGGUGAGCGAAUCUCGGAAAGCCGGUCUCAGUUCGGAUUGGGGUCUGCAACUCGACCUCAUGAAGUCGGAGUCGCUAGUAAUCGCAGAUCAGCAACGCUGCGGUGAAUACGUUCCCGGGGCU
This 1346-nucleotide ribosomal RNA is filed under the name uncultured bacterium. Its description in RNAcentral is "bacterial SSU rRNA". It matches the Rfam family "Bacterial small subunit ribosomal RNA", at positions 28 to 1381 of the family's 1533-position model. The record is from RNAcentral.